UACGUAGGGUGCAAGCGUUAAUCGGAAUUACUGGGCGUAAAGCGUGCGCAGGCGGUCGUGCAAGACAGAUGUGAAAUCCCCGGGCUUAACCUGGGAACUGCAUUUGUGACUGCACGGCUGGAGUGCGGCAGAGGGGGAUGGAAUUCCGCGUGUAGCGGUGAAAUGCGUAGAGAUGUGGAGGAACACCGAUGGCGAAGGCAGCCUUCUGGGCCAACACUGACGCUCAUGCACGAAAGCGUGGGGAGCAAACAGG
RNAcentral lists this ribosomal RNA (253 nucleotides) under uncultured bacterium. RNAcentral describes it as "partial 16S ribosomal RNA". It matches the Rfam family "Bacterial small subunit ribosomal RNA", at positions 524 to 776 of the family's 1533-position model. The record is from RNAcentral.